AGAGUUAAACAGUACGUGAAAUUGUUGAAAGGGAAACGAUUGAAGUCAGUCGUGCUAGUGAAAAUUCAGUUUGACGGGUUUUGGGUUCGGGAGUAGAAGCAGGGUCAAACCGUUUCUCUUUUGGACUUUGGAUUUGUCAGAUGCACUUUUUCUUUGGCAGGUCAGCGUCGAUUUCGGAGGUUGUAAAAUAUCUGGGGGAAAGUAGCUCUGCUUCGGGAGAGUGUUAUAGACCUUGGAGGAUGCAGCCUGUGGGAUCGAGGAUUGCAGCAAAUGCCUUUGGCUUGUCGCCUGAUCUCUGGAUGUUACCUCGCUUGUGACAACAUUCUUGCCACCGGUGGGUACUAAUGACUAUUAGGUUAGAGCGAUCAAAAAUUUUGCUAAGGAUGUUGACGUAAUGGCUUUAAACGACC
This 410-nucleotide small RNA is filed under the name uncultured Glomeromycotina. RNAcentral describes it as "eukaryotic LSU rRNA". The record is from RNAcentral. Lineage: Eukaryota; Fungi; Glomeromycota.